UUUCUUAAUAAGUUUAUUGUCUUAAUUUAUUAUUUACGAAACUGCAGAAUAAAUUUGACUUGGAUUUGAGUGUUCCGCACAUCUCCCAUGCCGUCGACAACAUGAUGAAGGAGCGGUUCAAGGAUUACUGCAGUAAGUUACACCGGUAGUACAAGCGGUGCAUGAGCCACGAGGAGGCCGUACAGUUCGCACCGUUGCACAUGACCGAUGAGGACUGGCGGAUACUCUGCGAUAGGUUUUUGUCUGAUUCUUUUUAGGUAAUAUUUACAUAUUUAUGAUAUCUUAACGUAAUAAUUAAAUUCACAAUUAAUAACAAUGUAUUAUGAAUAAUGUGUUCAGAAGAGGAGCAAAAUACAUUCUGACAAUAGAAGAAAGUUAGAAGUGAACCACGUAGCUGGUUCAAAGUCAUUUGUACGACUUUAUCACGACAUGCGAGAUUCCGUCACUGGCCAGGAGCACGGACCAGUAGAGUUCUAUAAAGGGACUCACUGUUGGCAGGCGACGGGAUCUUGGGUACAUCCUAGAGCCAGCGAGAUUUGGGAGGAGAUGGACACCUAACGCAGUCAGCCCACUCCUGAUGGUACUCAGAAGAGUGAGCCAGAGAUCCUGAGUCAGGUGCUUGGCACCUGUUCUGGAUAUGUGCAUGGGUUUGGCCAUGGUGCCAAGCUCAUGGCACCCGCUAGAGCUACCUCUAGCCGAUCCAUCCUCGUUGGUGACAGCGACGUAUGCCGAGCUGAUACCGCAGAGAGAGGUUUAGCAGCUACGGGUCAUCAUCGAUGACAUCAAAGAUCAGCUAGACAGGCAGACGGAGGAGCAGGAAAGGAAGAUGAUGGAUCAGCUGGUGA
Molecule: long non-coding RNA, 845 nt
Organism: Magnolia sinica
Lineage: Eukaryota; Viridiplantae; Streptophyta; Magnoliopsida; Magnoliales; Magnoliaceae
Exons: 3
Source: RefSeq, a predicted model, not a curated record